AGUGAAUGCUGGCGGUAGGCCUAACACAUGCAAGUCGAACGGCAGCACAGUAAGAGCUUGCUCUUACGGGUGGCGAGUGGCGGACGGGUGAGGAAUACAUCGGAAUCUACUUUUUCGUGGGGGAUAACGUAGGGAAACUUACGCUAAUACCGCAUACGACCUACGGGUGAAAGCAGGGGAUCUUCGGACCUUGCGCGAUUGAAUGAGCCGAUGUCGGAUUAGCUAGUUGGCGGGGUAAAGGCCACCAAGGCGACGAUCCGUAGCUGGUCUGAGAGGAUGAUCAGCCACACUGGAACUGAGACACGGUCCAGACUCCUACGGGAGGCAGCAGUGGGGAAUAUUGGACAAUGGGCGCAAGCCUGAUCCAGCCAUACCGCGUGGGUGAAGAAGGCCUUCGGGUUGUAAAGCCCUUUUGUUGGGAAAGAAAAGCAGCAGGUUAAUACCCCGCUGUUCUGACGGUACCCAAAGAAUAAGCACCGGCUAACUUCGUG
This 491-nucleotide ribosomal RNA is filed under the name uncultured bacterium. RNAcentral describes it as "partial 16S ribosomal RNA". It matches the Rfam family "Bacterial small subunit ribosomal RNA", at positions 29 to 507 of the family's 1533-position model. The record is from RNAcentral.